GGGUUGUGAGGUUAAGUGACUAAGCGUACACGGUGGAUGCCUAGGCAGUCAGAGGCGAUGAAGGGCGUGCUAAUCUGCGAAAAGCGUCGGUAAGGUGAUAUGAACCGUUACAACCGGCGAUACCCGAAUGGGGAAACCCAGUGUGUUUCGACACACUAUCAUGUCAUGAAUACAUAGUGGCAUGAGGCGAACCGGGGGAACUGAAACAUCUAAGUACCCCGAGGAAAAGAAAUCAACCGAGAUUCCCCCAGUAGCGGCGAGCGAACGGGGAGGAGCCCAGAACCUGAAUCGGCUUGUGUGUUAGUGGAAGCGUCUGGAAAGUCGCGCAGCAAAGGGUGAUAGCCCCGUACACUAAAAUGCACAGGUCGUGAGUUCGAUGAGUAGGGCGGGACACGUGACAUCCUGUCUGAAUAUGGGGGGACCAUCCUCCAAGGCUAAAUACUCCUGACUGACCGAUAGUGAACCAGUACCGUGAGGGAAAGGCGAAAAGAACCCCGGCGAGGGGAGUGAAAUAGAACCUGAAACCGUGUACGUACAAGCAGUGGGAGCACCUUCGUGGUGUGACUGCGUACCUUUUGUAUAAUGGGUCAGCGACUUAUAUUUUGUAGCAAGGUUAACCGUAUAGGGGAGCCGUAGGGAAACCGAGUCUUAACUGGGCGAAUAGUUGCAAGGUAUAGACCCGAAACCCGGUGAUCUAGCCAUGGGCAGGUUGAAGGUUGGGUAACACUAACUGGAGGACCGAACCGACUAAUGUUGAAAAAUUAGCGGAUGACUUGUGGCUGGGGGUGAAAGGCCAAUCAAACCGGGAGAUAGCUGGUUCUCCCCGAAAGCUAUUUAGGUAGCGCCUCGUGAACUCAUCUUCGGGGGUAGAGCACUGUUUCGGCUAGGGGGCCAUCCCGGCUUACCAAACCGAUGCAAACUCCGAAUACCGAAGAAUGUUAUCACGGGAGACACACGGCGGGUGCUAACGUCCGUCGUGAAGAGGGAAACAACCCAGACCGCCAGCUAAGGUCCCAAAGUCAUGGUUAAGUGGGAAACGAUGUGGGAAGGCACAGACAGCCAGGAUGUUGGCUUAGAAGCAGCCAUCAUUUAAAGAAAGCGUAAUAGCUCACUGGUCGAGUCGGCCUGCGCGGAAGAUGUAACGGGGCUAAACCAUGCACCGAAGCUGCGGCAGCGACGCUUAGGCGUUGUUGGGUAGGGGAGCGUUCUGUAAGCCGUUGAAGGUGGCCUGUGAGGGUUGCUGGAGGUAUCAGAAGUGCGAAUGCUGACAUAAGUAACGAUAAAGCGGGUGAAAAGCCCGCUCGCCGGAAGACCAAGGGUUCCUGUCCAACGUUAAUCGGGGCAGGGUGAGUCGACCCCUAAGGCGAGGCUGAAAAGCGUAGUCGAUGGGAAACAGGUUAAUAUUCCUGUACUUGGUGUUACUGCGAAGGGGGGACGGAGAAGGCUAGGCUAGCCGGGCGACGGUUGUCCCGGUUUAAGCGUGUAGGGGGUGUGACCUGGUAAAUCCGGUUGCAUACUAACCCUGAGGCGUGAUGACGAUGCACUACGGUGCAGAAGUAGUUGAUGCCCUGCUUCCAGGAAAAUCCUCUAAGCUCCAGGUAACAUNNNNNNNNNNNNNNNNNNNNNNNNNNNNNNNNNNNNNNNNNNNNNNNNNNNNNNNNNNNNNNNNNNNNNNNNNNNNNNNNNGAAGCCAGUCGAAGAUACCAGCUGGCUGCAACUGUUUAAUAAAAACACAGCACUGUGCAAACACGAAAGUGGACGUAUACGGUGUGACGCCUGCCCGGUGCUGGAAGGUUAAUUGAUGGGGUCAGCCGCAAGGCGAAGCUCUUGAUCGAAGCCCCAGUAAACGGCGGCCGUAACUAUAACGGUCCUAAGGUAGCGAAAUUCCUUGUCGGGUAAGUUCCGACCUGCACGAAUGGCGUAAUGAUGGCCAGGCUGUCUCCACCCGAGACUCAGUGAAAUUGAACUCGCUGUGAAGAUGCAGUGUACCCGCGGCAAGACGGAAAGACCCCGUGAACCUUUACUAUAGCUUGACACUGAACAUUGAGCCUUGAUGUGUAGGAUAGGUGGGAGGCUUUGAAGCGUGGACGCCAGUCUGCGUGGAGCCAUCCUUGAAAUACCACCCUUUAAUGUUUGAUGUUCUAACUCUGCCCCAUAAUCUGGGGUGAGGACAGUGUCUGGUGGGUAGUUUGACUGGGGCGGUCUCCUCCCAAAGAGUAACGGAGGAGCACGAAGGUUAGCUAAUCACGGUCGGACAUCGUGAGGUUAGUGCAAAGGCAUAAGCUAGCUUGACUGCGAGAGUGACGGCUCGAGCAGGUACGAAAGUAGGUCUUAGUGAUCCGGUGGUUCUGAAUGGAAGGGCCAUCGCUCAACGGAUAAAAGGUACUCCGGGGAUAACAGGCUGAUACCGCCCAAGAGUUCAUAUCGACGGCGGUGUUUGGCACCUCGAUGUCGGCUCAUCACAUCCUGGGGCUGAAGUAGGUCCCAAGGGUAUGGCUGUUCGCCAUUUAAAGUGGUACGCGAGCUGGGUUUAGAACGUCGUGAGACAGUUCGGUCCCUAUCUGCCGUGGGCGUUGGAAGAUUGAGAGGGGUUGCUCCUAGUACGAGAGGACCGGAGUGAACGCACCACUGGUGUUCGGGUUGUCAUGCCAAUGGCAUUGCCCGGUAGCUAAGUGCGGAAAAGAUAAGCGCUGAAAGCAUCUAAGCGCGAAACUUGCCUCAAGAUGAGUCUUCCCUGGGCCUUUAAGGCCCCUGAAGGAACGUUUAAGACUAAGACGUUGAUAGGCUGGGUGUGUAAGUGCAGCGAUGCAUUGAGCUAACCAGUACUAAUGAUCCGUGAGGCUUAACCUUACAACACCGAAGGUGUUUUAG
Molecule: ribosomal RNA, 2871 nt
Filed under: Serratia marcescens
Lineage: Bacteria; Pseudomonadati; Pseudomonadota; Gammaproteobacteria; Enterobacterales; Yersiniaceae
Description: 23S ribosomal RNA
Rfam family: Bacterial large subunit ribosomal RNA
Source: RNAcentral